Molecule: ribosomal RNA, 21 nt
Filed under: Lactarius aspideoides
Lineage: Eukaryota; Fungi; Basidiomycota; Agaricomycetes; Russulales; Russulaceae
Description: partial 18S ribosomal RNA
Source: RNAcentral
GACCNUGCGGAAGGAUCAUUA